This is a long non-coding RNA of Gambusia affinis (western mosquitofish), 1444 nucleotides long. RefSeq lists it as uncharacterized. NCBI's taxonomy places the organism in Eukaryota, Metazoa, Chordata, Actinopteri, Cyprinodontiformes, Poeciliidae. The transcript has 3 exons. The record is from RefSeq and is a predicted model, not a curated record.
UGACACUGUACCUGAAUGUGACAACACACCUGAGUUCAACAAUGUGCCCGAUUGUGAUGACAUUCCUGGCAGUGACCCGGUAGUUCCUUCUGAAGAGAAGUUUGAAGCAGUAGUAAAUACUGAACGGUUGACCCAUGGUAGUGAUUGUAAAAGUGAACCUAACCUACAUAGUGAAGGUGUAUGUAACCAAAAUGUAUCAGAGGACAAACCCAACCACCCAAGUCAUGAAAUCACAAAUCCUGUGAGACGUUCAGAGAGACAAACCACUCAACCAAAGAGGCUCCAGUAUAGCCAGUUAGGGAACCCACUCAUAUCCAUUGCCCAGUCCCUAUUCCAUGGCUUAAGCCUUGCUUUUACUAGUGCCUUGAUAGAACCUGAACUUGAAACCACUUUUAAGGGUUCCAGCAUUCCUGUCAUUUCAAAACAACCCAUCCCAUGCAAAGGGACUUGCAUGUUCCAAGGGGGGACAGUGUAACCCAGUGUUUAAAAACACAAGAAAAAAAUAAUAGAUGUUAAUUCAAUGUCUUAUUCUACCAAAAGAACUAAAAGGUAAUUACGUAAAAAAAAAAAAAGAAAAAAAAAGUGAAAUAGGCCUUUAGUGUUAGUUUCUGUUGGCGGUUUGAGUAGCCAAUGGCUGGCGCGGUCUGGUUUCGCGUCGGCCAAUGGGGUUGAUUGUCCCGCCCCUUUCAACAGCUGGCGGUUGUUUCGUUCGGAGCGCAGCAGACAGGCUUGAGAGCUAACAGCUGACGGUUGCUUCCGCUCAGAACGCUUGAGAACAGCUGACGGUUGCUUCGCUCAGAACGCCUGAGAGCUAACAGCUGACGGUUGUUUCCUUAAAGAGCUUGAAAGAAAUUGACAAAUCUGGAGAUCUCGGAGAGUUUCCCCUGUAAACAGCUGAACACCGAAAAAUAGCCGUUGACAGCUCGGAGCAUCGGUCAGGUUUUUUUUUUUAGCUUAUUUGAUACACUUUUGGCUUGGAGAGCCAAAGAUUCCAAGACCCUCUUCUCCUGAACCUGGAUGGCGAGCCCCAGCCCAGAGGACCAGGCGCACGGGUAGAUAGUGACCCGACUGGUCACCAGCUGAGAGACUGAGACUGAACAAUUGACUCAUUGGAGACCGAAGUAUUCAAUUUAUUUAUUUAUUUAUUUAUUUUUUAAAAGCGCGCAGUAUUUGUUUGUCUGUUUUAAAUGUGGAUCCACCAUUGUUUAUUAUAUUAAAUUUUGCUGUUUUCUUGUAGACACUGUGUGUGUUCUGUUGUUGCUCACACCUGGGUUCCCUCGAAUUUAGAAUCUUCUGAUUAGGCCCAACUUCCUAUAUAUAUAUAUAUACUAAAUUAAUUAACCUGUUUUUGUGGGUUGCUUGUUACACUCAACUAAAACCCCCCUUGUUUAGAGUUGUAUUUGAAACGUGAUCAAUUAGAAAUUUAUUGACGGAAUCUGACUUG